This is a long non-coding RNA of Telopea speciosissima, 432 nucleotides long. RefSeq lists it as uncharacterized. NCBI's taxonomy places the organism in Eukaryota, Viridiplantae, Streptophyta, Magnoliopsida, Proteales, Proteaceae. The transcript is spliced from 3 exons. The record is from RefSeq and is a predicted model, not a curated record.
AAACGAAGAUCAGGCAAUCAAAUUUAUCCUCUACGGGUCGUCCUUAAAACCACGCUUCUGAUUGCCUGUGAGAGGUUUGAUUGAUAAGCUCAUACAAGCAUUUUGGUUUUGCCCCAGGAGGUCAUAUAGGUGUGACUGCUCAUACUGUUGGGUCCAGACUCCCUACAUGUGUUGGCUCUACAGCUCAGAUAGUGGGACUGCUUGCCCAUCCUCUCAUUUGCCAUUGGUUUUUGUUAUUGGUUGCAAAUUCAUUUCUAUUGAACUCAAUGUUAUUCAGCCUUUUAGUUUGUACUUUAUACUUUUUAUGAAGAAGUUCCAGCUUUUUAAUCAGGGAACUCAGCUUUCUAUGAAAUAGUUUCAGCUCCAUGUUUCUUUUCUAAGACAUGGUUAGAAUUAUCAAUCCCAUCAAUUUGUGAUCAGAUAAUCUGAAAU